GUUGGAUCCAGGUGAACUGUCAGUUUGUGACGUCCCUCCAAGAAUCUUGAGAAUCUUCCUCUCUUCUUCAGUGAUCGUCAUGAAAUUCUGGGUCCUCCUUUUGGUUGUUUGGGUUGCUUUUGCCAUGGUGUCUGCUCGACCAUAUGAAGGUGAACAAGGGACUGAUAUUGCAGAGCAUGAUACUGGCCAUAGCUCUAAGAAUCAAGACCGUAUUCUAUGCCGUCUCUUAGGAAUUUGUGGUAGUUCAUGGUGGCGCUAAUAGGAUUUGGAUGUCGACAAGAUUUCUUUCAGCCUGAAAAUCCUUGUGCAGAUAAAUUGACAAUAACAGUGAAUGAUGAUACCAAUAAAGUAAACAUUUUAGUUGCAAA
Long non-coding RNA from Podarcis raffonei (Aeolian wall lizard), 368 nucleotides. RefSeq lists it as uncharacterized. The transcript has 3 exons. The record is from RefSeq and is a predicted model, not a curated record. NCBI's taxonomy places the organism in Eukaryota, Metazoa, Chordata, Lepidosauria, Squamata, Lacertidae.